This is a long non-coding RNA of Oreochromis aureus, 1391 nucleotides long. Lineage: Eukaryota; Metazoa; Chordata; Actinopteri; Cichliformes; Cichlidae. The record is from Ensembl.
CUAGCGGUGCAGAAAGAGUUAAAUUACGUUCUCUACUGGAGUCCUACCUCAUGUGACAAAUAUGGCCAAUGUGAUUGGCUGUGCCUUUCAGGGAGCUCUGUUUAGUUUUAGCAGUGGCAAGCCUGCGCUGCGCGGACCUGCAAGGAGGAGAGGAGGAUGGCAGCAAAAAGGAAGAACCUGAAUAUAAGAAAGUAUUUUUCAAAGAAACCUCUCAUUCUGUGUAAAACCUAAAGACGGCUGUGCUGGAACAUCCCCAUAAAUCAACAGCUUCUAACAUACUCAGACCUGGUCACCUGGAAAAAAAGAUGUUGGGCCCUUGACAACUGUGAUAUAUGUUAAACCAUAAGUGUGUUAUAUAUCGCAAACCCCAGAUAUCCUUCAGUCUGACCUAAUCCACACUUAAUCACUUGGGGCAACAGCGCUGCAUACGGGAAGAAGUAUGUGUGCAAAUGUGUCUGUAAUAUCAACAGAUAGUUACGCUGGCUGAAGACCAGAUGAGAAGAAAAUUAAAGCAUGUAUCCUUCUCUCUUUAGUAAUCCCAGUAAACCAGUCAAAAAUGUUUGAUGACUGUAAAACAAUGAAUAAUCUCAAGCUUGGGGAGUAAGACUACACUAUGGUGACUACAGCUGAGGUUUUUGUAUUCCAUACCUUCUGAUUAAACAGCGCAUUACCUGCUGACUCACUGAUACUUCCAGUAACAAUGAGUCAGGGCCCCACUUGGACCCCACAGGUUGGCUUCGGGGACUUUCAGUGUGCCCCAGGCAAAAUGAACAACGGCUUGCCUUCAUUACAACAAAGCUGAAUUUAAUUUUAUAAUUUAAUGAGACACAAAAUGAUGUCACAAAAUGAAUGGUAUAUGUUGCAAAGUCAGAUUUUCUUUCUUUGAGCUUUCUGUAAAUACAACACUAAGAAGAUAUUGAAAGUGAGCCAAAACAAAAACAAAGCAAUGAACAGCCACAUUUACUAUAUUCAUACUCUUUUAAUCAGUUGUUACAAUUCACUGUUACAUAGUAACGGUGCAGUUCUACUCGAACAUGGAUUAAGCAUCAAACUGGCUUAUUUGUAACUACUGUUACUUAAAGAAUAGCUAACUAAAGAUCUUGAAAGGACACAAUGCUGCAUUAGUGCCGCCAUCUGGUAAAUGAGGUAAACAGUACAAGAAUGUCAGAACCUUUUGUACAAAGCUCUGGUUGGAAUAAUCCAUUUGUGUAAUAAUAAAACUGCACAAGAAUAAAAACACAUGGUAAUUUAAUCCAAAUCGUGUUUUCUUGUUUGUUAUCUUGUUUAAAUACGCAAAACCAGAAAGCACAAAGAGAAACAGGAAUCUGUUCUAUGGUUACAGAAUAAUGAUGUUUGCAAUGAUUUUUGGUAUUUUUGAUUUUGGUAUUCAU